CAUUGCUGAAUUACUUUAACCUUCUCUAUGGCUUGAUAAACAAGAUCCAGUCCGAACAAAAGAGUUUCACCCACUUCGAACCAUCCUAUUGGUGAUCUACACUUCCUUCCAUAUAAAGCUUUAUAUGGUGCCAUUUUGAUACUUGAAUGAUAGCUAUUAUUGUAGGCAAACUCAAUAAGAGGUAAAUGAUCAUCCCAGUUGCCCUUAAAAUCUAUUACACAAGCUCGUAGCAUAUCUUCAAGUGUUGGAUGGUACGUUCUGCUUGUCCAUCUGUUUGAGGGUGAAAAGCUGUACUCAAAUUCACUUGUGUUCCCAAACACCUUUGAAAAGACUUCCAAAAGUUUGCGGUAAAUUGGGUUCCCCGAUCUGAUACCCCUUUUAUUGGUGAUACCUUCAAAAAUACCCAAUCACCUAUAGAAAACUCUAGUCCUCUCCUUCUACUAUCCGCAUAUUACUUGUGUCGACUUUGGACUAUUUUCAGUCGUCGCUGAAUUACUUUAACCUUCUCUAUUGCUUGAUAAACAAGAUCCAGUCCGAAUAAAAGAGUUUCACCCACUUCGAACCAUCCUAUUGGUGAUCUACACUUCCUUCCAUAUAAAUCUUCAUAUGGUGCCAUUUUGAUACUUGAAUGAUAGCUAUUAUUGUAGGCAAACUCAAUAAGAGGUAAAUGAUCAUCCCAGUUGCCCUUAAAAUCUAUUACACAAGCUCGUAGCAUAUUUUCAAGUGUUUGGAUGGUAC
This 738-nucleotide long non-coding RNA is filed under the name Capsicum annuum. Its description in RNAcentral is "long non-coding RNA (CANN_LNC008147)". The record is from RNAcentral. Lineage: Eukaryota; Viridiplantae; Streptophyta; Magnoliopsida; Solanales; Solanaceae.